UGCAGUCCAUAGCAAUAAUAGCUCAUGCUAUUUAUAGUUAGCAGAAUUUAGUUAGGGGAGAAGGCAAGUUAGGGGAGAAGACUCUUUGUGACUCCAUGGACUGCAGUCAUGGUGAACUGAAGUCUCCACCCCCAGGAGGUGGCAGGAGGUUAGGUUGGUGUGCAAGGAUCUUAUACAUCAUUUCAGGCUAACUUCUGUGGUUGGGACCUCUCUCAAAGAGGGAUGCUUUGCCCAGAAGGCCAGAAGAACCAUUCCUCAAAAGUCAAGAACAUCAACUACCAGCUGAGUCAAGAGGGUUCAUAGUUGGCCACGAAAAUGGGUGACCCAGUUGAAGAUACCAAAACACCAGGUGAGGAAGUUAACUACAUGAAGACCAGACUAUAACCAGGAUUUGAGCUGUCACGAUUCUGAGAACUGACCACAAGGAAAUGGGAACAAGCACACCCCAGAACUGAAGAUUAAUUGCCUGAAACAACCAAGACGAUGCUAGUCAGACUGAUGAUGACCAAUUUGAGGAUGACUGUGCUGUUUCUAUGUAACCUCCCCUCCCACUCUGUCUGUAAUGGCUCUCACCCCCUUGUCGGGGGUGGGAGUGGUGAAGUCGGCCUUUGGAAGAUGUCUGCCACCAUUCCCCCCGCCCCAGUU
Molecule: long non-coding RNA, 645 nt
Organism: Dama dama (fallow deer)
Lineage: Eukaryota; Metazoa; Chordata; Mammalia; Artiodactyla; Cervidae
Exons: 3
Source: RefSeq, a predicted model, not a curated record